Molecule: ribosomal RNA, 600 nt
Filed under: Salmonella enterica subsp. enterica serovar Newport
Lineage: Bacteria; Pseudomonadati; Pseudomonadota; Gammaproteobacteria; Enterobacterales; Enterobacteriaceae
Description: partial 23S ribosomal RNA
Rfam family: Bacterial large subunit ribosomal RNA
Source: RNAcentral
GCGACUAAGCGUACACGGUGGAUGCCCUGGCAGUCAGAGGCGAUGAAGGACGUGCUAAUCUGCGAUAAGCGCCGGUAAGGUGAUAUGAACCGUUAUAACCGGCGAUUUCCGAAUGGGGAAACCCAGUGUGAUUCGUCACACUAUCAUUAACUGAAUCCAUAGGUUAAUGAGGCGAACCGGGGGAACUGAAACAUCUAAGUACCCCGAGGAAAAGAAAUCAACCGAGAUUCCCCCAGUAGCGGCGAGCGAACGGGGAGGAGCCCAGAGCCUGAAUCAGCAUGUGUGUUAGUGGAAGCGUCUGGAAAGGCGCGCGAUACAGGGUGACAGCCCCGUACACAAAAGCGCAUGUGCUGUGAGCUCGAUGAGUAGGGCGGGACACGUGGUAUCCUGUCUGAAUAUGGGGGGACCAUCCUCCAAGGCUAAAUACUCCUGACUGACCGAUAGUGAACCAGUACCGUGAGGGAAAGGCGAAAAGAACCCCGGCGAGGGGAGUGAAAAAGAACCUGAAACCGUGUACGUACAAGCAGUGGGAGCACAGGUUUACCUGUGUGACUGCGUACCUUUUGUAUAAUGGGUCAGCGACUUAUAUUCUGUAGCAAG